This 253-nucleotide ribosomal RNA is filed under the name uncultured bacterium. RNAcentral's name for it is "partial 16S ribosomal RNA". It matches the Rfam family "Bacterial small subunit ribosomal RNA", at positions 524 to 776 of the family's 1533-position model. The record is from RNAcentral.
UACGAGGGGGGCGAGCGUUGUUCGGAAUUAUUGGGCGUAAAGGGUGCGUAGGCGGUUUGGUAAGUCUUAUGUGAAAUCUACAGGCUCAACUUGUAGUCUGCAUGAGAAACUGCCGGGCUUGAGUAUGGGAGAGGUGAGUGGAAUUCCUGGUGUAGCGGUGAAAUGCGUAGAUAUCAGGAGGAACACCUGUGGCGAAAGCGGCUCACUGGACCAUAACUGACGCUGAGGCGCGAAAGCUAGGGGAGCAAACAGG